Molecule: ribosomal RNA, 225 nt
Filed under: uncultured bacterium
Lineage: Bacteria
Description: partial 16S ribosomal RNA
Rfam family: Bacterial small subunit ribosomal RNA
Source: RNAcentral
UAGGCGUACGGGUGAGUAACACGUGGAUAAUCCACCUCUUAGUGGGGAAUAACUUUGGGAAACCGAAGCUAAUACCGCAUGAGCCUGAGAAGGGAAAGCAGCAAUGCGCUGAGAGAGGAGUCCGCGGCCGAUUAGCUAGUUGGUAGGGUAAAAGCCUACCAAGGCGAUGAUCGGUAGCCGGCCUGAGAGGGCACACGGCCACACUGGCACUGAAACACGGGCCAG